CAGUUUUUUAUUUGUUUUAAUGUUUCUUGAGUUGAGCAUCUUCUGAUUCUGAUUUUGUUUUUAAUGUGUUUCGUUCACUUUAUUCACGUUGUAGAUUUUUCAGACGGAUUACCUUAUUGCAUGUGCCUAUAGAGAAACUGAGAUUUGCUGUCCGAAUUGCUUUCUUUGUUUAUCUCUGUCUCUUCCUUGUGAAAGGGAACACAAGAACGGCUCGGUGAAUAGACUAUGGACAUGAUUUACCGUCUGUUAAUCAUGGAAAUCACUUGUUAAGAGAAGAAACAACCCUCAAGAUGGGGGUAAAUCAUCGUGGAAGAUGAAACCGGUUAUGGCUCUAAUGUGUACAGUUCUUUUGAUCUUUGGUAUAAGACCACAAAUUUUCAGUAUGAACAGACACAGAUAGAAGAAACAGAUUAUCCUUUUGAGAUGGCAAAGGUACAU
Molecule: long non-coding RNA, 438 nt
Organism: Raphanus sativus (radish)
Lineage: Eukaryota; Viridiplantae; Streptophyta; Magnoliopsida; Brassicales; Brassicaceae
Exons: 4
Source: RefSeq, a predicted model, not a curated record